AGAGUUUGAUCCUGGCUCAGAACGAACGCUGGCGGCGUGCCUGAGACAUGCAAGUCGUGGGAGAAAGUCGGGGCAACCCGGCGAGUAAACCGGCGCACGGGUGAGUAACACGUGGAUAACCUGCCCUGGAGACUGGGAUAACCCGUCGAAAGACGGACUAAUACCAGAUAAGACCACGGACAGUUCGCUGUCCGAGGUAAAAGGUGGCCUCUGCUCCUGCAAGCUACUACUCCGGGAGGGGUCCGCGGCCUAUCAGCUAGUUGGCGGGGUAAUGGCCCACCAAGGCAAAGACGGGUAGCUGGUCUGAGAGGAUGGUCAGCCACACUGGGACUGAGACACGGCCCAGAGUCCUACGGGAUGCAGCAGUCAGGAAUAUUGCGCAAUGGAGGAAACUCUGACGCAGCGACGCCGCGUGGGUGAUGAAGGCCUUCGGGUCGUAAAGCCCUGUCGGAGGG
Molecule: ribosomal RNA, 455 nt
Filed under: uncultured bacterium
Lineage: Bacteria
Description: bacterial SSU rRNA
Rfam family: Bacterial small subunit ribosomal RNA
Source: RNAcentral